Molecule: ribosomal RNA, 447 nt
Filed under: uncultured bacterium
Lineage: Bacteria
Description: bacterial SSU rRNA
Rfam family: Bacterial small subunit ribosomal RNA
Source: RNAcentral
UCGGGAAUUUUGGACAAUGGGCGCAAGCCUGAUCCAGCCAUGCCGCGUGAGUGACGAAGGCCUUAGGGUUGUAAAGCUCUUUUGGCGGGGAAGAUAAUGACGGUACCCGCAGAAUAAGCUCCGGCUAACUUCGUGCCAGCAGCCGCGGUAAUACGAAGGGAGCUAGCGUUGUUCGGAAUCACUGGGCGUAAAGCGCACGUAGGUGGGCAGUUAAGUCAGGGGUGAAAGCCCGAGGCUCAACCUCGGAAUUGCCUCUGAUACUGGCUGUCUAGAGUUCGAGAGAGGUGAGUGGAAUUCCUAGUGUAGAGGUGAAAUUCGUAGAUAUUAGGAAGAACACCGGUGGCGAAGGCGGCUCACUGGCUCGAUACUGACACUGAGGUGCGAAAGCGUGGGGAGCAAACAGGAUUAGAUACCCUCGUAGUCCCUGAGCGGGCUGGCAAGGCGCAU